UUACUUUGCCCUCGGCCUUGAGCUAUUGAAAAAUUUGGCAGUGGUGGUGAUUCACGUUUUGAGGUUCGGUUCGGUUCAAUUUUUUGGUGAAUUUAAAAAUUUACCUACUAACAAUAAUUAGUGUAUCAGUCUGUGUGUAUUGUUUGUGACACUGAAAAUUUGGUACGGUAAGAAUUAAACUGUAUUAGUUUUUAGAAUUCUGUCUGUGAAUAACCUUCACGGACCUAUUAUGUCUGUGUAGACUGUGGCUUUGUUGGUGCUUUCAUACAAGUUCACAUUCAACCAAGUGUUAAAUUUCAAAGUAUUUUGUAAUUAUGGAAGCUCUUAUACCAGUUACCAACAAACUUCAAGAUGUCUUUAAUACAGUCGGCACCGAUAUUAUACAGCUUCCUCAAAUAGUUGUAGUUGGCACACAAAGUGCUGGUAAAAGCUCUUUGAUUGAGAGUGUAGUCGGAAAAAGUUUCUUGCCGAGAGGAACAGGAAUUGUCACCAGGUGUCCCUUGGUUCUUCAACUUCAUUACUGUCCUAAAGACGACAGCGAAAAAAGAAAUAUUGAUGAUGGAACGUUGAACAUUGACGAAUGGGGUACAUUUUUGCAUAGGAAAGGUAAAGUAUACAGUGAUUUCACUGAGAUUCGUAAUGAAAUUGAAUGCGAAACAAACAGGAAAGCCGGAAAUAAUAAAGGAAUUUGCUAUGAACCGAUAGUGUUGAAAGUAUUUUCACCUCAUGUACUGAAUUUGACGCUGGUCGAUCUUCCUGGCUUAACUAAGGUUCCAGUGGGCGAUCAGCCCGAAGAUAUUGAACAACAAAUAAGAAAGUUGAUUCUCAAGUACAUUGGCAAUCCUAAUUCUAUUAUACUUGCAGUUAUUACUGCCAACACCGACAUGGCUACUAACGAAAGUAUAAAAAUAGCAAAAGAAGUUGAUCCGGACGGGCGUCGAACGCUAGCCGUGCUCACCAAGUUGGACUUGAUGGACGCUGGAACAGAUGCCAACGAUAUUUUGUGCGGACGUGUCAUUCCAGUCAAACUCGGAAUAAUCGGUGUUGUAAAUCGCUCUCAGAAAGACAUCAACGAAAACAAAUCUAUAAAAGACUCUUUGAAAGAUGAAGCAAACUUCAUACAAAGGAAGUAUCCGACGUUAGCUACACAAAACGGUACUCCGUAUCUAGUCAAGACACUGAAUCGACUGCUGAUGCACCAUAUAAGAGAGUGUCUGCCUGAACUGAAGGCCAGAGUUAAUGUGCUAGCUAGUCAGUAUAACAUCCUUGCCAGUUCUUAUGGGGAAGACAUAUCGGACAAGGGAAAGACACUGCUACAGAUAGUCACUAAAUUCUCGACCGCUUACUGUUCGACAAUAGACGGCACAGCAAAGCAUAUUGAAACGUCCGAGUUGAGUGGAGGUGCUCGCAUCUGUUAUAUAUUCCACGAAACAUUCGGAAACGUUCUGAAAAAUAUCAAUCCUCUGACUGGUUUGAGCAAGUUUGACAUAUUGACAGCGAUUCGUAACGCGACUGGACCGCGGCCGGCGCUAUUCGUGCCCGAGGUCUCGUUCGAGUUACUCGUCAAGCGCCAGAUUCGCCGCCUCGAAGACCCCUCGUUGAGGUGUGUCGAGUUGGUGCACGAGGAGAUGCAGCGCAUCAUUCAGCAUUGCGGAGUCGAGUACCAGCAGGAGAUUCUUCGCUUUCCCAAGCUGCACGAGAACAUCAUGGAUGUGGUGACAAAUCUGCUGCGACAAUGUCUGCCCACUACAAAUCGUAUGGUGGAGAAUUUGAUAGCGAUUGAGUUGGCGUACAUCAAUACCAAGCACCCCGAUUUUUGCAAGGAGUUUGCGUUGGUUACAAACAUGUUGAAUCCAGCUAAUUCGAUACGUUCGAACCUCCAGCCGACCACCAAUCAUAACGAUAAUGCAGGUCAGUUGAAGCGAGGAGGGGGACAACGAUCUCAACCUCAACGUGAUGACGAAGGGGAAAAUGCAGAGGGAGGAGUGAUGGUGAACGGUGAGGCGUCGACAAAGCCCUCUCCCGAACACGAACAAACCACACCGACACCUUCCAGCUUCAUGACAGACACCACUCGACGCAUGACCGACAAGGAGCUGCGCGACUGUCAGGUGAUCGAACGUCUCAUCAAGUCCUACUUCUACAUAGUGCGCAAGUCCAUCCAGGACAGUGUGCCCAAGGUGAUAAUGCACUUCAUGGUGAACCACGUGAAGGAGAACUUGCAGUCUGAGCUGGUGACUCACCUCUACCAAGGCGACAAGAUCAAUCAGCUGGUGAUCGAGUCGCCGCACAUAGGCCAGCAACGCAAGGAGGCCGCCGAAAUGCUCAAGGCCCUACAGAAAGCGCAUCACAUCAUCAGCGAGAUCAGAGAAAUACAUCUGUGGUAGUUGGCCUACUGGCGUUAGAAGGCUAUUCCGGUUCGGACAUAAGACUGGUGUGCAAAGAAGCGGCAAUGUGUUUAAUGCGGAAAGCCUUUGCUGCUCUCGAAACUACCCAAAAAAGUGAUGAGCUGGAUCUGGACAUAAUGACCACAGCUGAUGUGAUGGAGGCCAUUCAACGAACCAAACCCUCUGCAUGUGAUCUGGUGCAGCGCUACCGUGCCUGGUUCCAGCAAAGCGGUUCUGCUUAGAUUAGGUUAGAAUCUGCGCAAGCGCGGACUGUCACGAGCAAAAUAUUGUUGUUGUAGUAGUUGCCUACAAACAAAACUUUCUAGCCAAAAAAUGCUUUUUAAACCGUUUAAUUUUUGUAAAUUUCUAAGCCUCAAAUGUUCUCUGUGUAUUAUUAUUGAUUCGAAAUCGUUGGGUAUAAAAUAUUGACUAUACAGGGUGUAACAGCCAUAUAUACUGCAUGGAUUUAGCAACAAAAAAUGUUUAGUAAAAUUUUCAUAUAUAAACCUUAGUUCUCGAGAUAUAUUAAUUUUAAAUAUAUUAAAUAAAAAGACUAAGAAAUUUUCAAAAACCACAGAUUUCAUUGAUAAAGACCGGUUUCGGUUGUUACACCAUUGUCAAUCUCACAAUUGUCAAGACAGAUUGACAAUUGUGUAACAACCGAAACCAGUCUUUCUAACUAUCAAUAGAAUCUGUGGUUUUACACAAUUUCUUAGUCUUUUUAUUUAAUAUGAAUAAUUACCACAAUAUCAACUUCUCAACUACACAAAAAAAUAUAUACAUUUUUGGAUAUUUAUGAAAAAUGUCAUUAACAAGAAAACUAUCAGUCAAAAUCUAAUUUUAAGGAUAUUUUUGGAAAGAGGGUGAAAUUUUUAAUAAGAUUCGUGUAAUUUGUUUCUUUGUAUGACGUUUUUGAAUUUUAUAUGAGCGUUCAAACUGUUUGAAAUUUGGCUUUGAACUCAACGAAUGUACUUUGUUCAACUUUGAGCUCCCAUAAAAAAUCCAGAAACUUCAAUCUAAGAAACAAAUCAUAGGAAUCGUGUUGGAAAUUUCUUCCUCUAUCCAAUCAUUUCCUUAGAAUACGAUUUUGACUGAUAGUUUUCUAGUUAUCGACGUUUUUCGAAAAAUCGAUAUAUCUUGAAAACUAAUGUCGAUAAGAGAAAAUUUCACUGGGCAUUUUUUUGUUGCAAAUUGAGUGUAGAAUCUAUGGUCUUCGGCUUUUACACCUUUUGUCGGACACUCUGUAUAGUGGGAAUCACUUUAGACUGGUAGUAUUGGUUCUUCUAGGGUUGUGUGGCAGAGAGUACCUAGUGUCCUAACUCCGCCCUUAAUAAAGGAAAUAAUUUAAUUCUCUUUCGAAAAUGUAGCACAACCAGUGUGUUUGUUAGAAUAAUCUGUAUCCUAACGUCGACUUGUAAAGCCCUGCUUUACAGUGAAUUUCUGCUCUGCUGGACGGACUGGGAUACUGGCUGUUAUGGGAGAGUUCAGAAAUUUCCAUUCUACGAAUGUGUGAACUCUCCCAUAAGAACCAAUGUCAUUCUAAUUCUGCCCAAGGUAUUAGAGCAGAGCGCGAUCAACUUUAGUCUGGGAUCACCACAUUCAUAAGCUGGUAUGAUCAGCUAAUAAGAUGAAUGAAACCCAUCCUAAUCACAUUUUUAGUCAUAUUUUGUUUUGUUUUCCCUGAUGUACGGUGGGUGCAUAUAGGGUGCACUGUUAAAAACGUUGAUAAAUUGCUUGAAUUUAGAAUACAGGUCCAGUCAGUUGUUCGAUAAGAAGAUGAUACCAGUAUUGAGAAAACUACCCUAAUCACAUUUUUAGCAAUAUUUUGUUUUGUCCUGAUGUACGGUAAGCGACAUAAAAUUCCAAUGACUUUCCACUUUGAGGUUAUCAAUCGUCAUCACUGAUCAUUUCAAAUGAAUUCUGAUCAUCAAAAAUGUUUGUCAUUAUCGUUUGAGAUCAUUAUCAUAGUUUGAAUCUCCAUGAACGUCCAUUUAUCUAUGUACUUACUCUAUAUGCAAUAACCUUUUUUUGUUAGGGCUACUCUCAAAUAUCAAGAAAUCAAAAUAUAAGUACCUUUUUUUAAUUGUUUACUUACGACAUGUUUUGACAUUAUCCAUCUAUAUAGAAUGUAUGAUUCAUAAUCUAAAGACUUAGUAUGAAUGGACUCGCAUAAUAGAUAAAACUAUGAAUACUGUUUGAGGCACCUUUUUUGCACAUUGAUCUAUCAACUAUAUUCAUCAUGUUUCUGUUUAGUAUUGAAAGUGAUAUAGUAAUAGUUAUCGAUAAUAAAAAUAAUUAUUAAGGAUGUUAAUUACUUGAUUUAUUACGAACUGCGAUGUAUACACUACAAUUGAUUACAGACAUGCGGUUAUCAAUUUUAUACUUGAGGCUUUCCCGGUUUCCGAGCUCGGGAUUUAGCUAAGUUCUAGACUCUAAACAGCAGGAGUCAGAAAAUUGGCUUUCUGAAACGGGGCGUAUUCUUAGGCUAGGGCCACACGAGCGCACAUAGUGCGUCCGUUGCAACUUACUUUUUGACGUCCGUUUUAGAAAUACAUAGAAGUGAAUUGGUGACAACACACGAGGUACGUGCGUACCAAGUAACGGAAGUCGUAACGGACGGUGAUUUUUGAACUGCGUAGAAAUGCUACAACGCAUGUCGAGACAUGCAAAAGUUAUUGCUUCGUCUGGUUCAAUUGCGUAAAGCCAACUGACGUUGAUGCACCACACUCAACGCUCGUGUGGUGUCAUUGGCGACGGCCGCAAAAGUAAGUUGAAACGGACGCACUAUGUGCGCUCGUGUGGCCCUAGCCCAAGUCCACAUUUAAAUUAAAUUUCGAAAAACUAGAAAAAUGAUCACAAAAUAAAUAGAAAUAGUGUAAAGUUUCAGCUAUUUUGAAAUAUUUAGGGAUGUUUCAUUUCUUCAAGGAAAAGCGUUCCCAAUUUAUUAUAGAAAUGAGAAAAUAAAGAUUAUCAUAAGAACUACGACUACGCCCCGUUUUGGAAAGCCAAUUUUGUGACUCCAGCUGUUUAAAGUCUAGAACUUAGCUAAAUCCCGAGCUCGGAAAUCGGCCCUUAGUGACUGCUGAGAUUUUCAUCAAACUCCAGUCUGUAAAUAAACGAAUUGUUUUCAAUGUUGAUAUUAGUGACUGCAUAAAUCGGAAUUCAAGCGAAAAAUUGUGAGAAUCAGAACAAUCCAACCUUGUUGGAAUAUUGAAAAGUCUGUCUUCACUGAAACACCAUGAUCAAUCGACUACCCCUUUUCCAAUUUAUUGUAUUUGAGAAAGUAUCAAUAAUUGUAAUUGAGAAUAGUCAUUUGUAUUUGAGUAUAGUGAAUUCUAUUUGAGAAGUCAUCACAUGUAAUUGAGAAUAGUAAAUUCUAUUUGAUAAAGUAUCAAUUUAAUUCGAGAAAUUAUUAUUUAAAAUUGACAAGUUGUCAAUUUGUACCAGGUGAUCGUUUUUCUCAUUUUCAAUUGAUAUCUUCUUAUUUACAUUUGACACUUCUCAAAUACAAUUCACUGUUCUCUAUUACAUAAUAUGAUGAGUUAAAUACAAUUUACUACUCUCAUUCACAUCUGACAUAUAUUCUCAAUUACAAGUGACUAGUCUUAAAUACAAUUGGGAAAGGUGUAGAACUAUAAAUAUUAUCAGAGCUUGAGAAGUUGGAGUUUACUAGAUUUAUAAUGGUUUAACUAGCGGAAAUAAUUUAUACUUUUCUAAACAAAUUUUUGGUUUUUUAUUCUAUUCUAGUACUGGUCAAAAGAACAAUAUGAUUACACAGUUGAUUUAAGCUGGAUUCUCACGUAUCAGUGAAAGUGAAAGUUUUUAGUACAGUGAUAAUUGUAUUCCUAUAAAUUCUAUGGGACUAUUCAGACUUGCUCUGCGGGGAAUACAAGGUCUAUAAAUGGGUAAAUAGGUUUUUAUAGACCUUGGUGGAAUAGUCUAAUUAGUGCUCAUGGGAAUUCUGUUUUCACUGAUAGUGUAUGAACUAGAUAUGAGCAGGGAAUCCAACUUUAUGACUGGAAAACUUUGCUAAAAAACUUGUAAUAACAUGCAUUUAUUUAUUGAGAAUAGGUCUACAUUACAUGAAAAUAAUAAUACAACUCAAAGAGGUUUUGUACCAAUAUAAUAUUUUGAUGAGCCAUUGAGUCGAAUAACAGAAUUGCCCCCAAUAUACAGUAAUUAGUUUUAAGAAACCGUGUUGUGAAAUUCUUUGAGUCUGUAGUAUAACCAUAUUUGAUACUUUUUAAUUGAGACCUUUCAAUUCAAAAAAUGGCAUCAUUUUAAUUCAUUCAAGACUCCCAGGGUAAUUGUAUUGUACAAAAGAUAACUCGCUUUCCUAGAUUAAUUUGGGAGAGCAAUAACGAUUUUUAUAAUCUGGUGUAAGUUAUAUAUCAGAGUGUAACAGUAUUCUUCAUUAUUACCUACAAUAAUUACAUCAUUUAAAUGAUCGGGAGAGGAAAAAUAAGGUUACCGUACAUUAUUACGAUACUACAACUUUUCAAUUUUAUUUGAGAAAAUAUCAAUUGAGUUUCAGAAGAUGUCAAAAUUGUAUUUAGUCAUUUGUAAUUUAAAUGAACUUGGAACACAAGAUGUAAAUGUGAACAGCUAAUUUUAUUUGAGAAGUAGGAUCUCAUGCAAUUGAGAAAAGUGAUUUCUAAUUAUUUCGAAGCAGUCAAUAAAAAGUUAUCAAUUGAAAAUUAGAGACUUUAAAUCCUAUAUUUUGUAUUUCAAGUUGUGAACAAGAUCAGCGGGGUUUUCAGUUGGAUUUCUCAAUAAUUAUAUUACAACUGACUUCUUUUUCUCGAUUACAAAUGAUAAUUUCUCAAAUAUAGUCCGGGUCCUGUAGCUUUGCCUAUCGGCGGAGGGUCACUAGAUUACAAUACCACACAUUACUUCCCGUUCAAAAACAUCCAACAUUUUUGAAAGUUUCAAAGUCACGGAGGCAAACCUACGGGACGCGUACUGUCCACUAUUCUCAAUUACAAGUGAUACCGUAACUUCUGUAAUACAAUUUGACUGUUCUCAUUUAAAAAUGAGUAUUUUGAAUCACGGUCGAUACUUCUCAAAUAAAUUGGAAACGUUUUGGUAUUUUUGAUCCUAGUAUGAUGAGGAAAUGAGAAACAUUGUGAUGAAUAGAUUAAAGAUGAUGGUUUCUCGAUCCAUUCCGAGCUGCGAUGUAUUAACACACUUUUUUCUCGUGUGAAAUAUACAUAAAAAGUGUAUGAAUAGAUUUUUUCUAAAGUCUUCAUCCUAACUUUACUGUUGAUAAUUACUGAACUUUAUGAAGCACUUUUUCACUUUCACAAUAGUAGGCUAAUUUCAACUUAUUGUUCAAUGCAGUGCUGAAUAUUGGAUCCAUCGCCCUGAAACCUGUCCUCCUCCCUCACAAAAUAAAUUGAAAUUUUACUAUUGUAAAAGUGAAAGAAUGCUUUAUAAAGUUUAGUAGCAAAUAGAUUAUAAUUUAAAUAAAAUGUAUUUUGCCGCAGUGCCAUGAAACUGGUCAAUCAGUGACAAAACUUCAAGUGCUGUCGUAAUUUGGAAAACAAAUAUCAGUUUAUUAUCAUACAUCCAACAUGAAAAGUUCAAAAGGUUCUGCUAUUCCAUGUUUUUUCUAGUUGAAAAGGUUUUGCUAUUCCAUGUUUUUUUCUAGUUUCUAAUGUCUGUUUUGAGUUGGCACUAAAAUUAAUCGAGGCCGACAUUGUAAUUUGUACGUAGAAAGAGGAUGUAUUCUAUUAUAAUUACCUAAAGUGUUUAAAUCUAGAAGACUUAUUAUGUGAAGCAAAAUGUUGAAAUACUCUGUUGAUAUUGUAAUCCUUGAAAAUAUAGUUGUUAAAUGAGA
Molecule: RNA transcript, 8226 nt
Organism: Nilaparvata lugens (brown planthopper)
Lineage: Eukaryota; Metazoa; Arthropoda; Insecta; Hemiptera; Delphacidae
Gene name: katanin p60 ATPase-containing subunit A-like 2
Exons: 3
Source: RefSeq, a predicted model, not a curated record